Long non-coding RNA from Nelumbo nucifera (sacred lotus), 671 nucleotides. RefSeq lists it as uncharacterized. NCBI's taxonomy places the organism in Eukaryota, Viridiplantae, Streptophyta, Magnoliopsida, Proteales, Nelumbonaceae. The record is from RefSeq and is a predicted model, not a curated record.
ACAUUGGACUCUGAAUCCAGUAACCCGAGUUCAAAUCUCGGUGGAACCUCUUUUUGUUCUUAUUUUAUUUUCCCUUCAAUUUUUUUCAUAGAGGAGCCAGGCCCAGGGUUGUAUCUGCUUCGGCUUGUGAUAGAGUAGAAUGCUAUGCUCUACCACUCUACCUCGCAGUGUAAAGGAAUAUCCCCACACGAUGUAUGAAACCAAAAAUCCUAAACCCCUUCGAAAUAGCGUCUGGCGAUCAGGCUCACAGAGAAACGAAGGAUUCGAACUCAUGCAUCUUUUUCAGUAUCUACUUCAGUGCAAUGAGCUGGAGUUACAUACUGCCCAUGAUUUUCUUUGAGAAGAAAAUGAUAAAAUAUCUUUUGAAAUGUCAUGUUAGUCCUGCUACCACUAUGAAUAUUUGCCAUUGAUGAUUGACUCAACUUGAAGGAGGAUACUUGAGGAGUACUAGAGUUGUCAAUGGAUCAGUUUUACCCAACUUAAAGACAUGUCAGUCUGGUUCUUAUUUUUAUGUCCUGAUUAUAAUUUGGCCAGGACCUGGUUCUGGCUGUUCCAAGACAAUUAAGACCCAAAUUGAUCAUGUAUAUAAUAUAAGUUUAAUGUAUAUUACGAUAUUACAGCAUUUCCAUGUAGUUAUAUUUAGUAAUUUCUCAUAGUAUUUUUUUUUUUAA